AUUGAACGCUGGCGGCAGGCCUAACACAUGCAAGUCGAACGGUAACAGGAAGCAGCUUGCUGCUUUGCUGACGAGUGGCGGACGGGUGAGUAAUGUCUGGGAAACUGCCUGAUGGAGGGGGAUAACUACUGGAAACGGUAGCUAAUACCGCAUAACGUCGCAAGACCAAAGAGGGGGACCUUCGGGCCUCUUGCCAUCGGAUGUGCCCAGAUGGGAUUAGCUAGUAGGUGGGGUAAAGGCUCACCUAGGCGACGAUCCCUAGCUGGUCUGAGAGGAUUACCAGCCACACUGGAACUGAGACACGGUCCAGACUCCUACGGGAGGCAGCAGUGGGGAAUAUUGCACAAUGGGCGCAAGCCUGAUGCAGCCAUGCCGCGUGUAUGAAGAAGGCCUUCGGGUUGUAAAGUACUUUCAGCGGGGAGGAAGGGAGUAAAGUUAAUACCUUUGCUCAUUGACGUUACCCGCAGAAGAAGCACCGGCUAACUCCGUG
Molecule: ribosomal RNA, 490 nt
Filed under: uncultured bacterium
Lineage: Bacteria
Description: partial 16S ribosomal RNA
Rfam family: Bacterial small subunit ribosomal RNA
Source: RNAcentral